RNAcentral lists this unclassified non-coding RNA (305 nucleotides) under rhizosphere metagenome. RNAcentral's name for it is "partial ribosomal RNA internal transcribed spacer region". The record is from RNAcentral.
ACGUAUCCACGUAUAAACCAUUGUGAACCGUUCAUUAACCUUUGUUUUUUCGAACAAGAGAGUUGUGAGUCAAACGUUUAAACAGCAAUAGUAAUUGAGCUGUUGUUUGAUUCGCCGCAGUCGAUGUUUUCUCUCCGGAGUUCUCGACUACGCUUGUGAAAAAUUCAAAGUGUAUUCAAUUACUACUUAUUAACCAUUAUAACCCAAUCUUUAUAACUUUAUGAACUAACUUUAUUUUAUACUCUUCGGAGAUAAAAUUCAUUACGAAACAAAGAACAACUCUUAGCAACGGAUAUCUUGGUUCU